UCCUGGGAUUCGGCGGUGCUCCGCCAUACACCGGCGUGGUGCUUCUGUGGAAGGAGAAGCGGCCGCCGGCGGUGGGACAGAGGAGGUGCAGCACGGCGAGGGUACUGCGGGUGGUGGUGGCGUCGGGCGCGGUGAUGAAUGGAAGGGGAGGACCAGCUGCAGAGGUUUCUUCUUUGUUUUUGUUUUUCUGGUGCGAGAUCCGAGAGAGAGGGAUGAGGCAGCAGAAGGUGUUUUGUUUUGUCUGAAACCGAAAGAGGAAGAGAACAGUGGCAACAGUGGAAGAGAAAGAAGAGGGACCGAGGCUUUAGCAACAGUGGCAAGCCUGCCAAAGCUCUGAUACCAAAGCUGAUGCAGCACUGUCUCGUGAGAAGAGUGGGAGAAAGGAGGAGGAGAGAGGAAAGAGGAGGGAAGAGGAUGAAGAAGAAUAGAGAGGGGAGAAGAGAGGAAGAUAGAAGGAAAGCAAUUUUGUUAAAACAUUCAUCCUGUCAACAAAUGCAUAGACCCUAUAUAUAGGGUUACGAAAUACAAAAAGGUCCCUCCAAAUAAACUAAUCCCACAAAAGCCAUAACACAACAAUAUGUACAUAAACCCAGUCAACAUAAAAUAAACUAACAUCAAAUCAGUCCAGCCAUAACGAAAGUGGCUGGACCCUCCUCCUGCGACGACCGUAGACCCGCGUCACUGGCGGUCCGGUACUGGUGUCCGCACCACAUUCCUUGAAACUUUCAAACUUAUGCUUUUGAAUUGAUUUUAAGUUAGAAUGUAUGAAGUUGGAUCAUUUUAGUUGAUUCUCCUGCAUCUUUGAUUUAUGAGUUCAACGUAUGUGAAGUAACUAAUUAAGUGUUCCGUAGGAUUUGCUUAUAUUUUAAUUAAUGUAUAAAAUUGAAUGCUUGAUUUGAUUUCGGUAAGAAAUUCGCAACUUUCCCUAGUCUCUUCUUUUAUUCCUCCAACUACACUAUCUUGUUUUUAAGAACAAAAGUGAUCUUUUGCUUCUCUUCCUCUUGCUUCCACCACUUUCCUUGUCAUAUUUUUUGAUUUUCAUCUUCUAGAUGUUUUCUGCUUUAGAUAUGAGGCAGAUCUGAAAUGAAAUUUGAUUCAAGCUGUAUUUCAUUCUUUAAGUUCUUCUAUAAUCUUUGUAUCGUGGUUAGCCAUACAAGUGCGUAACGCCCUGUACUUGGCAUUUUGUACCGUACCAGGCAUUUUGUACCAUACUGGUACUGAUCUGAGACUUGGUAUGAGACUUGAUAUGUUGUGACUCCUAUACCGGGCAUAUUGACACUGUACUAGCAUGGUAUCAGUACGGGGUCUAGCAUUGAGAUGGCGAAACUUGCUUGAUACAUUUGUCCUUCUCAUAGCUAGGUGCUCCUUGUUUAUUAGUGCUUAGAUCUCCUUAAGAAUGUAAACAUAAUUUUGCAAAACAAGGCCAUUCUUGAAGAUAGAUAAUGAUGGACAUUGUAUCCUUCAAUUGUACCGAAAAAAUAUUCUGGAUCUAUCUUUGCUAUAGGAACCAAAGCAUUUACUAUGGCUGCUUUAAUUGUGACUAGAUUAUGUUUCUAUGCUGUGGUUUACUAGAGACAUUGCCAUAAUCUUACUGCUUUUGAUCCCCAGUUUUGAUACUAAAUCCAAUCUCAAGAUCAAAAGAUGGAGUGUGACCAUCACUAACAUAAUCACCACUGUAUCCAUCAUCAUAUGCAUUGCCACCACAUCAUUGUUCCUCAUCAACCCCAUCAGCAUUAUCAGCAAUGUCCUCAUCAAGCUGCUUUCGACAAAAAAUCUUUAAUAUGUUCUGGAAAAGGGAGCUGGCAUCUGGUAAAAUUCUCUUCAUAUUGUUUUUGGCAGGCUGGAAGAAAAACUGAAAUUUUUGACCAGAAACAUGAGCUAGGAUAUGAACCGUGCCUUCCCUAAGGAUAUUGUUGUAAAUUUGUUACAUAGACCUAUCGGAGUAGUUUGUACUUUGUUGUAAUAUUAGUAAGCACCCUUAGUAUUUAUUCUCAUGGAAGUGUUUUCGUAAUUUAACUAAUGAAUGCUUGUAAAGGUUCAACUACAGAGUUAAUGAUGCCUUGUAUUCUGUGAAAUUACAAAGACACCUUCAUCUUUUGAGUACAUAACAGUAAAGAAAAGAGGUGUUUGGAUAAUUUCACACUCAUGUACAAACCUAUCAAAUACGCCUUAUUAGGGUCGGCGGAACCGGUAUCGGGCACCGUUCUGGUUGUCUGGCGGUACGAGUCGGUAUGGGCCCGAGCCGUGCCGUGCCGUGCCGAGCUUGUACCAACAAAGUAGAAGAGGCGGGGGAGAGGGAGAAUGAGAAGAAGAGAGAGAGAACGAGGAGGUUGGAGAGUCGCCAGGAAGCUGCAGAAGAAGGGCUCCCCUCCGGCCCCUGUUUCGAACUGCGCGGUUCGGGGCGUCCCGAUUCGUACUGACGAUGGACCGGGACGGUUCCAGGAAGGAAACCGAUAUGUGUCGCCUGAGGUGGAGAAGGAGAAUGAAAGAGAAGAAAAGAGAGAGGGAGGAAAACUGGCGGAGGGCCGGUGGAGGCCGCGUCCCUCUCUCCCCCUUCUCUCUCUCUUUUCCUCUCUUGUUCUCCCUCUCCUCCGUCUUUUCUACUGUUGGUACAGUGCCCGGUACUGGUUCCGCCGACGUUGCUUUUAAACCAUUCCAUAGUAGGCUUCACCACCUUAGAAAAUAUUGAGGCCUCAUCUACCUUAGAUCCAGACUUUAUUUGUAGAUGCAUUGAGCUCCUACUCAAAGUGUGCAUUCUGAUUGUUAAAGUUGCUUAUGUGUAGGUGAGCUGACAUGCAUAAAUUGAUUAUUCUUUUGCCAAUGUGCAUAUUUUCUGUUUCAGUGACUGCCUUUUUUUUUCUUUUAAUGCUAAUCCCUGCAACUAUCUGUUCUCUCUCCAUCUCUUUCUCCCCCCCCCCCCCCUCCCUAUCUCAAUAACUUAAACAAAAUCAUCUUCAUAUUAGCUUUUCCUGUUUCCUGUUUCUUUAUUAUAAUCCUCCCAUGAUUAUUAUCUGGCAGUUCUGACCUGCAAUUGGCAAUUGCGCUUCAACAACAGGAGUUUGAACAACAGCCCCAACGCCAGCUUUCCCAACAGCCACCUGUUAGUGGUCGAACGAGGCUUGUCACAGGUUCUCAUGCACCUAGGAACUCCAAUGCUCCACAGAAGAGUGAACCGAGAGCAAAGGAUAAGUGUAUUGUCAUGUGAGAAUCAUAUAUAUUGUAAAUGAUUGUGUACGCUGGUCAAAUGUAUUACAAUAUUCAAGUUUAGUUUUGGUGUAAAUAAGAAAUUACUGACAUUGAUUCAAAUAAAGGGCCAAAUUAUUAUUGCAUUUUA
Non-coding RNA from Phoenix dactylifera (date palm), 3334 nucleotides. The record is from RefSeq and is a predicted model, not a curated record. NCBI's taxonomy places the organism in Eukaryota, Viridiplantae, Streptophyta, Magnoliopsida, Arecales, Arecaceae.